CAGUCGCCGCGGUAAUACGAAGGUGGCAAGCGUUGUCCGGAAUUAUUGGGCGUAAAGGGCUCGCAGGCGGUUUCUUAAGUCUGAUGUGAAAGCCCCCGGCUCAACCGGGGAGGGUCAUUGGAAACUGGGAAACUUGAGUGCAGAAGAGGAGAGUGGAAUUCCACGUGUAGCGGUGAAAUGCGCAGAGAUGUGGAGGAACACCAGUGGCGAAGGCGACUCUCUGGUCUGUAACUGACGCUGAGGAGCGAAAGCGUGGGGAGCGAACAGGAUUAGAUACCCGCGUAGUCCCUGUCUCUUAUAC
This 301-nucleotide ribosomal RNA is filed under the name uncultured bacterium. RNAcentral describes it as "partial 16S ribosomal RNA". It matches the Rfam family "Bacterial small subunit ribosomal RNA", at positions 509 to 807 of the family's 1533-position model. The record is from RNAcentral.